Molecule: ribosomal RNA, 464 nt
Filed under: Vreelandella stevensii
Lineage: Bacteria; Pseudomonadati; Pseudomonadota; Gammaproteobacteria; Oceanospirillales; Halomonadaceae
Description: partial 16S ribosomal RNA
Rfam family: Bacterial small subunit ribosomal RNA
Source: RNAcentral
CCUACGGGGGCAGCAGUGGGGAAUAUUGGACAAUGGGCGAAAGCCUGAUCCAGCCAUGCCGCGUGUGUGAAGAAGGCCUUCGGGUUGUAAAGCACUUUCAGUGGGGAAGAAAGCCUUGGGGCUAAUACCCUCGAGGAAGGACAUCACCCACAGAAGAAGCACCGGCUAACUCCGUGCCAGCAGCCGCGGUAAUACGGAGGGUGCGAGCGUUAAUCGGAAUUACUGGGCGUAAAGCGCGCGUAGGCGGUCUGAUAAGCCGGUUGUGAAAGCCCCGGGCUCAACCUGGGAACGGCAUCCGGAACUGUCAGGCUAGAGUGCAGGAGAGGAAGGUAGAAUUCCCGGUGUAGCGGUGAAAUGCGUAGAGAUCGGGAGGAAUACCAGUGGCGAAGGCGGCCUUCUGGACUGACACUGACGCUGAGGUGUGAAAGCGUGGGUAGCAAACAGGAUUAGAUACCCUGGUAGUC